Molecule: long non-coding RNA, 1595 nt
Organism: Armigeres subalbatus
Lineage: Eukaryota; Metazoa; Arthropoda; Insecta; Diptera; Culicidae
Exons: 5
Source: RefSeq, a predicted model, not a curated record
UCCAAUCCCUAGUUCAGAUAAUUGACAGAUAAGAACUGUCAUAGUCCUGAUAAAUAAAUCUAGGUAUAUAAGAAACACUUGUACAUAAACAUGAGAAGUUUGCUGUUGGGUAAAAUAAAUAUAGAUGCUCUCUUCUGUAGCAACUGUUGACCAGACCAGUGCGUUUUCCUUGAACUUUACAGUGGCGACGAGAUAAAAAAAUUAGUAAUUCGCGUGUGAAAGUUGUAAAAAAUAGUAGAAUAAGUGGCCGUUUCGGAUUAGCUUGUGUCGGACGGAGCUAAGGUUGGCUGGUUGAGGAAUUAAUCGGAUGAAAGCCGGUCAAAAGUGACGCUAGUUCCUUGGCUUAGGGUGGACCCUAUUAUCCACAGGUCGAGUUAAUUUCCUGGUGGCGUCUGAAAUUGAAGUUUACCGAAGAGCCUUUGAGCAGGAAAGCUAGGCCAGUUGACCGAUAAUCCGGAUAAGGCUGUACGAAAAAGGAUGAUUACCGGUGUUGUUGCUGAGUGAAUACGUGAUACCGGUGCAAAAACGUAAUCGUUUGAAAGGCGGAAUUAUCGACGCACACACGAACUUUUCGGGAUUGGGACAAUUGGCGUUCAGCAGUACAAUAACCACUAGUUUCGGAGGAGACGGGAACUGGAAUUCAGCGAGUGAGAACGGUACAAAGUUGUGAACUAAUUAGACACAAUGGGGCUAAUCGGUUCAAUUGAUCCAUAUGUUCAAGGUACCUCGUUCUCUCAUUAUGUCGAACAAAUGGAAUACAUCUUCUCUAGUAACGACAUUGUAGAGGCAAAAACAUCCAGUUAAAUUUGUAGGAGACACUGCAAGUGUGGAGGAUCCGCAUGAGUAUUUCAAAAGAUUAAGAAUGGACUACGAUAGCGACGUGGACUCAGAUUGCCAUCGGAGCCCAUCUCCUAACGGCCCACAGGGGGCAGAUAAAGCUUGUCAAAACGAAUGAACGGAGGCGAAAUGUUUCGCUUCAAGCUGGAGGAGAAGAAGCGCCCGUACGGACACAUAAGAGGAAGUUUGUCGAUUCCGAUGAAGAUGAGCCGUUUCACGGUUUCGAUGCUGAGGCUCCACCACCCGCCAGAAAUGAAUUACAUCCGGGAGCGUUACAAGAAAGUGUUGAUGUUUUUCCAUCAGGAAGUUCGAAGCCUUCAGUUACAUUAAGGCGUUCGAAUAGAAAGAAACAGAAGUCAAAUGAUCAUGAAUUUGUGUACUAUUAAGUAGUUAGGUGUUACUAAAGAAAGUAUUAAGUAUCAAAUUUAGUUAACAAGUGCCAUCAUGAAUUACAGUUAUAAAACUCACGAUCUAAAUAUAAAGUUACAUAUAUGGACACCUUCGAAUUUUGCGAAAAUAUUGUUCAGAGAAAGAGUGGUAUAAUAAUUAACUAAAUAAGGGAGGAGUUGUCAUAUACUCAAGAAAGAAUAAAUAAUGUUUAGCGUGUUCAGAUUCCAAUCCCUAGUUCAGAUAAUUGACAGAUAAGAACUGUCAUAGUCCUGAUAAAUAAAUCUAGGUAUAUAAGAAACACUUGUACAUAAACAUGAGAAGUUUGCUGUUGGGUAAAAUAAAUAUAGAUGCUCUCUUCUGUAGCAACU